RNAcentral lists this ribosomal RNA (253 nucleotides) under uncultured bacterium. Its description in RNAcentral is "partial 16S ribosomal RNA". It matches the Rfam family "Bacterial small subunit ribosomal RNA", at positions 524 to 776 of the family's 1533-position model. The record is from RNAcentral.
UACGUAGGGGGCAAGCGUUAUCCGGAUUUACUGGGUGUAAAGGGAGCGUAGGUGGUUCGGCAAGUCAGAUGUGAAAGCCCGGGGCUCAACCCCGGGACUGCAUUUGAAACUGUCGGACUAGAGUGCAGGAGAGGUAAGUGGAAUUCCUAGUGUAGCGGUGAAAUGCGUAGAUAUUAGGAGGAACACCAGUGGCGAAGGCGGCUUACUGGACUGUAACUGACACUGAGGCUCGAAAGCGUGGGGAGCAAACAGG